RNAcentral lists this ribosomal RNA (529 nucleotides) under uncultured Actinomycetes bacterium. RNAcentral's name for it is "bacterial SSU rRNA". It matches the Rfam family "Bacterial small subunit ribosomal RNA", at positions 340 to 860 of the family's 1533-position model. The record is from RNAcentral. Lineage: Bacteria; Bacillati; Actinomycetota; Actinomycetes.
UACGGGAGGCAGCAGUGGGGAAUCUUGCGCAAUGCGCGAAAGCGUGACGCAGCAACGCCGCGUGAGGGAAGAAGGCCUUCGGGUUGUAAACCUCUUUCAGUUGGGAGGAAGCCACGGCGGUUAAUACCCGUCUGUGGUGACGGUACCUUCAGAAGAAGCCCCGGCUAACUACGUGCCAGCAGCCGCGGUAAUACGUAGGGGGCAAGCGUUGUCCGGAAUCAUUGGGCGUAAAGCGCGUGUAGGCGGCUUGGUAAGUCCGCUUUGAAAGCCCGGGGCUCAACCCCGGGAGGCGGGUGGAUACUGUCAAGCUUGAGUCCGGAAGAGGGGAGUGGAAUUCCCGGUGUAGCGGUGAAAUGCGCAGAUAUCGGGAGGAACACCAAUGGCGAAGGCAGCUCGCUGGGACGUGACUGACGCUGAGACGGGAAAGCGUGGGGAGCAAACAGGAUUAGAUACCCUGGUAGUCCACGCCGUAAACGAUGGGCACUAGGUGUGGGAGGUGUCGACUCCUCUCGUGCCGAAGCUAACGCAU